Molecule: ribosomal RNA, 291 nt
Filed under: Triticum aestivum (bread wheat)
Lineage: Eukaryota; Viridiplantae; Streptophyta; Magnoliopsida; Poales; Poaceae
Description: partial small subunit ribosomal RNA
Source: RNAcentral
AUGCUGAAAAUUGAUCUUGCUAAAGCUUUUGAUCGCCUAGAUUGGAAUUUCAUUGGGUCUGCUCUCACACGUAAAGGGUUGCAUAGUCAUUUCAUUAACUUGAUAUAUGCGUGCAUUUCGUCGCCUACUUUCUCUGUGCUCAUUAAUGGGCAGCCUUCUCAUAAAUUUAGAUGUUCUAGAGGUAUUCGUCAGGGCUAUCCUAUGUCUUAUUAUUUGUUUGUUAUUUCCAUUAAUGAGCUCUCUCUUGCCCUCAAUGAAGCUCUAGCUGCUCAACAUCUACAGGGAAUUUAG